AUAAAGGUAAGCUAAAUAAGCUAAAGGGUUCAUACCCCUUCUAUAAGAGUCAAAUCUCUUCCUUUUUA
Molecule: transfer RNA, 68 nt
Filed under: Folsomia candida
Lineage: Eukaryota; Metazoa; Arthropoda; Collembola; Entomobryomorpha; Isotomidae
Description: tRNA-Met
Source: RNAcentral